ACCUACGGGGGGCAGCAGUGGGGAAUUUUGGACAAUGGGCGAAAGCCUGAUCCAGCAAUGCCGCGUGCAGGAUGAAGGCCUUCGGGUUGUAAACUGCUUUUGUGCGGAACGAAACGGUCUCUCUUAAUACGGGGGGCUAAUGACGGUACCGUAAGAAUAAGCACCGGCUAACUACGUGCCAGCAGCCGCGGUAAUACGUAGGGUGCGAGCGUUAAUCGGAAUUACUGGGCGUAAAGCGUGCGCAGGCGGUUACAUAAGACAGAUGUGAAAUCCCCGGGCUCAACCUGGGACCUGCACUUGUGACUGUAUAGCUAGAGUACGGUAGAGGGGGAUGGAAUUCCGCGUGUAGCAGUGAAAUGCGUAGAUAUGCGGAGGAACACCGAUGGCGAAGGCAAUCCCCUGGACCUGUACUGACGCUCAUGCACGAAAGCGUGGGGAGCAAACAGGAUUAGAUACCCGUGUAGUCCC
RNAcentral lists this ribosomal RNA (468 nucleotides) under uncultured bacterium. Its description in RNAcentral is "bacterial SSU rRNA". It matches the Rfam family "Bacterial small subunit ribosomal RNA", at positions 337 to 797 of the family's 1533-position model. The record is from RNAcentral.